CUUGUCUUUUUGCCUUUUCUAGGGCCGCACCCGCAGCAUGUGGAGGUUCCCAGGCUAGGGGUCUAAGCAGAGCUGUUGCCGCUGGCCUACGGCAGAGCCACAACAACGCGGGAUCCGAGCCGCGUCUGCAGCCUACGCCACAGCUCACAUAGCAAGGCCAGGGAUUGAACCUGCAACCUCAUGGUUACUUGUCGGAUUCGUUAACCACUGUGCCACGAUGGGAACUCCAGCAUUACUGGUUCUUAUUCUACGGCCUCUGGCUGUGAUCAACAGAUGCAGAAAUCAGGAGAUCAACUGAUGGGCAUAGGGACUGUCUGACCCAUACUGACACAUACUACCCUGAGUGGGAUCUUCUGGGCAGCCGGAGUUUUCUAGGAUCCGCUUAUUUCUCAGUAGUAAAUCCUAAUAGGUAAAAAGUAAAAGUAUGGAAGACUACUUUAUAUACUCUUUCCCUGGGAUACCUAGAUUGGUAAUAAUAACUUAGUAAAAUUUUGGCCAGGUUGGGACCCUCCUUCUUUAUUGACUACAUGAUUCUCUAGCCUUACAUAGGGAAGUUUAAUCUUCUGGUUAAAAAUGAUGACAAGCAGAUAUUAUUACAGAAACAUUUCAAAGUUGAUGCUAUUUUUAUAACAUUUUCUCAAAUAAAAUUCCAUAUACUUUACAGCUUCCAAACAUACAUUUUUACCUAAAUAUAUGAAUACUUAGUAUCUACAUGCUUUACUAAGUCAUAAUUAGAUAUGAAGAUGGGGAAAGGUGAUUUAAUUCCAGUUUCAGAUGCAGAAUUCUGUCUAAAUACGAAUUUUAGAAAUGUUCAUAAUUUAAGUGGUAGUAAAUAUAUUUGGCAUUACUAGGUUGAGAUUAAAAAUCUUAAAUUUCUCAAAAUAUCCUUGUCCCUUGAGGCACUGCUUUCUCAGUGAAAGUCUCCAACUUCAUAAAUGUGGAAAUUUGGAUUCUCUGAAGGAGAAAAAUACUUCUUGUCAGAAAACUGGUCAUGGCUAGUUCACAGAGUGAAGGAGUCCAAGAUCUUAUUAAUUUUCCUGUGACCGUGCUAUCUGAUUUGCUACAAGUCAUUUAAAAUCUCUAUAUGUCUCAGUUUUGUCUCCCUAUCUAUGAUACCUAAAUAAUAUUAUCAAGAUAACGUGGAGACUAUAUUUCCAUCUUCUCAUAGGGCAUAUGCUAAAGUCCUAAAUCUCAAAGUAUUCAAAUGAUACUACCUGUAUCAAAUGGGUAGAAUGGCACCAACAUCCUAUAUAAUCUUAAAUAACACAUUUAGCACCACAGCUUUUCACUUUUUCAGCUAUAAAACGGGUAUAGACAUGUUUAAAUUUUUGAUUAAAAGUAUAUAUUAGAAUAGAGAGACUAUUGCAUAAGCUAUUAACUUUUCAACAAAAAUUUCAUACACUCCUGGAAGUUCCCCUUGUGGCUCAGUGAUAAUGAGCCCAACUAGUAUCCAUGAGGAUGCGGGUUGGAUCCCUGGCCUCACUCAGUGGGUUAAGGAUCUGGCGUUGCCACCGUGAGCUGUGGUGUAGGUUACAGACAUGGCUUGGAUCCCAAGUUGUGGCUGUGGUGUACGCUGGCAGCUACAGCUCUGAAUCGACCCCUACCCUGGGAACUUCCACUCAUUGAGGGUUUGGCCCUAAAAAGCAAAAAAAAAAAAAAAAAUUCAGAAAUUGAUUUUAAAAUAUCAAGGCAUAAGAUGAAGUUAAUGUUAUUAAGGAUAUUCAGAUAUUCAUGAAGAAAAACUGUUUCUAAAAUGGGAAGCAAUACUACCUUUUAUUUGUGUGACUGGCUACAUUUUAUGGUGGACCCAAGACCCUAGUAAUGACAAAGCUGAAACAGGGAAAGUGAUUUUCAGCAGACUUUUGAACGGUAUAUAAAAUAAGAUGUAUUCACUAAUGGGUUGGCAGAAAUGUUAUACAUGAGCUUUUAGAAUCAAAACUGCUUAAGCAGCUUUUCAUAUUUGGCAAAGCUAUGUUCUUGAAGUGUCCCCUCACAGCCUCCUCCACGUUAUUUUUUUGUCUUAUAGUGCCAGGUGGGAGGAACAAUAAAAGGGAGGGGCAAAACAAACAGGGACAGCCACUAUGGCAGGAGCCACUCCAAAGAUCAAAGAGCCAAUUUGGCUGUGGCUGCCAAAAUUGGAACCACAGUGGGUGGCUCAUCAGCAUGGUGCCCUGAGAACCACAUAGGCCACUCCUGGUAGGUAAGCACCUGGGGAUACAGGCCCCACAUCCUGCUCAGGAGAACUACCUGCUAAGAACUGAAUGUGUACCUUUCCUUACCCAAUCCCAGAAUUUGAUUUUAACACAAUUCUGCAUUACUAUUAUGUUUUUUGAAUGAUCUCCAUGUGAUAGACACUAUACAAAAGCACAAUCCUAUUCUACUCAGAUUUCAUACCUUAUAAGAUUCUAAGGAGAACUCUGAUUUCCUUAUGCUAAUGGGUAAAAUCUUGGGUAACUAGUAGAAAAGAUAAUUCAAUUUAUAAUAUUUUAAUCAGAUAUAUCCCUUUAUUUUAUAUAUCUGUCAUCAGAAAAUAAUACACUAAUACCUCUAUUACCCAGCCUUCUAUAUUCAUUUAUAAGUCUAUCUUGAUUUCACAUGGUUAAGAACCCAAAAAAGAGAAAACAGAGCCCUUAAGAAACUUAAAAAAAUAAGAUUCUGUAAAGCACACAUAGUUGCCCAAACUUAUCUUUAUUCAUCAAGGAGAUUUUAACUUGGAGCCAAUAUAUUAUUCCUUAAUACACAGAAGCAUCAGUUAUAUGGGCCCUCUAUUCAUGUUAGAUGGAAAGAUGGGAUACUUCCAGAAGAAAGCACAAUGGUAACUAGAAAACAACAACUCUGUGUCUCA
RNAcentral lists this long non-coding RNA (2845 nucleotides) under Sus scrofa (pig). Its description in RNAcentral is "lncRNA (ENSSSCG00045015546.1)". The record is from RNAcentral. Lineage: Eukaryota; Metazoa; Chordata; Mammalia; Artiodactyla; Suidae.